RNA transcript from Falco peregrinus (peregrine falcon), 7073 nucleotides. It is a transcript of the gene named E3 ubiquitin-protein ligase KCMF1, with no coding region annotated. Lineage: Eukaryota; Metazoa; Chordata; Aves; Falconiformes; Falconidae. The record is from RefSeq and is a predicted model, not a curated record. The transcript has 3 exons.
UCUUCUUUGCUUUCCUUCUUUUUGUCUUUAAUCUCUUAUCUUUCACACUCUUAGUUCCUUGUCUUGCUAUUCUUUCCCUUUGCUGUGCUGGCUCUCUCCUGCUUUUCUCCUUAGAGUGCUCUAGGGUGGAAUUUUCAGAAACACCUGGGGAAGCUGUAGACCCAUGUUGAGUUCCAGUGCCAUGGAAGUUUAAUGCUGCCUCUCUAUGCCUCCUUAAAAAGUAAAGCUCCAGUGUUUCUUGGUAGCACAACUCAUUUCAGAAAAUGGCUAUCGCUGAAUAUGUUUUUAGGCAGUGGUUUCUCUGACUUUAUAUGGAGAUGGGUUUGUGAAUUUUGUUUCUUAGAUGAGAUGAGGUGGCUUUACUAGUGAAAAUCUCGCUGGUCUACGUUAUGACUGAUGAAUUUUUUAUUUGUUGAGAAGAGUCACUGUUUACAAAACUCUUCAGUAACAGUUGAUUCCUAGUGUAAAUGGUAUUUAAGGUCUGGUUUCUCUUAGCUUAUUGAUACUAAAGCAGACAGUAUUCUUGGCUGAAGGUGAUUGCUAUUGAUUACUUACCGUACCCUAAAAAAUUGAAAGGUUGGAGUGAAGUCUUUGUGUACAAACAGUAUAGAAAUUAGCAUAAAUUUAUGUGACAGAUGGGAUAAAGCGGUUUGAGAAUAUUCAUAUUAGUCUUGUUAUUUUAAACCUAUUUAUAAAAAAAUUCUGCAGCUCUACAAAGCAAUAGAGUUGGUCUGCAGAUACUUGAUAGUAUGGCAGAAACUUCAUGGCAGCUUCUGUAAGUAAACACCUGGGCACAUGCCUAGAACAUUAGCAUUACUUGGAGGCUGAAUGGGGCCAUCCUGGAUGUGGCUGGCUGGAGAGCUGUUGUUUAACAGGUGAUAUUCUCUGGAUACCUAUCUCAAGUAUCCUAGCUCCAGCAGCAAUAGAUCAUACCAAGAAUUUCAAGAUCAGAAAUGUGUUAGGAUAUAGUCAUGUAAGGACUUCUUGCAUGAUUGUCAGUAACUUCUGUCUUCCAAAUAAAUCAUUCUAGUAAGAAGCAAUGUUCAGUUUUCCUGGUAUUUUUUUGCUUUACUCGUGUGUCAGCUGUAUGUGCUUAGAAAUCAGUGGAAUGAAUUUGAAACUGCUGGGAAUCUGACUAGAAACCUUUGUGGGUGGAAUUUCUUUUGUAAUAUGUAACAUAAAAUUUACCCUGAAGAAAUCUGUGGCUUGGGCACAAAGGUUUAUCUGUGCUAAUGAUACCAUCACCUCACUUUCAGUUCAACAAGUAUAUGUUUUAAUUAUUGCAGAUAUUUGCAUGUGCUUUUAAUAUAGGCAGUAACAAUGAGAUGUGCCUAACACAAACCUGUACACUAAACAUGGUAUUAUGUGUGUAUCAGUAUACAACUUGAGGUGUGGGUUGUCUUUGCAAGUGGGAAGUUUCUGUAGUGAGAAGUGUCUUGUGAUUCACUGGUGAAAUCAGGUCUGUGCGACAGGUUCACUAAGAGUAAUGGUGGUGGAACAUAGGUCACAACUGGACAGACAUAGUUCUACCACCGUUGCUUCCAAAGUUUCUUCUGACUGUCUCUGUACUUUCCAAAAGUAAGACCACUAACUUCAGUGCCUGAAUGAUUGUAUUAUUUUUCCCAUGGUCAGAGUAGACUCCCUCCCUAAACCUAGUUGUGGAAUAUGAGGUAAGAUUGGCAAAGAGAAUUCAGGGUGCCCUUGAAGAAAGACGCCUAAGCUUUGCAAAAGAAAGCCAUAGAGAAUACAGAGCUUUAUAAGUCAUGAUGAAACUUUUUUCGGUCUAGAUGUGAGUAAGAUCCCUCAGGUGAUCUUAAUUCCAUACCUGUCCCCUGCUACAGUUUGUACUGUUCUGGGAAGAUGAAAAUGUCAGUAAGUAUAGUUUGAUCUUUUGACUGUACACAUGAAAUUGGUUACUUCUGUUGUAAACCAUGACCAUUUUCAUUGUUUAUACUUGUUAGUUACAUUAAUUGGAUACCUUACAAAUUUAAGAAGACUGAGUAGAAACUGUGCGGUGUCUUGACUCAAGAAGAGGUUGAGUGCAUUUUCAAGCUCUUGGUUAUCUUCAGUAUUGGAAAAUAGCAAAGAUGAAUAAACCUUUCUGCCCUCCUGAAUGCAGAAAGAAUGGAUUCUGUGAUCUGCAAGGAUCUUCUCCCAGGUUGUUUUGGCCUAAGGCCUGUGAAUUGCCAGGCAGAAUCUGACAGCAUGCCAAGUAUUCCUUAUGCUGGAAGACUUUUGUGAAGAGCUGAGAAAACUGCUUGAGAUUUUGCUAUAGAAGAAUGGCUUUGUAAGUGAAGACUCCUUAGAAUGUAACCUUGACUUUGUAAGUAAAGGUUCCUUAGAAUAAUUGACUGUUACUACUCAAAUUUGUAGUGGUAGAGGUUGCUAAUUGAUAACAUUGUGUUGUUCCAAUCUGCUGUCUGAAUUUUAUUUAGAAGCAGAGUUACCAGCAGGAUGGAAUUUCUCAAGGUUAGCUGAUGAUACCACGUUAGAAAAAUAAUAUAAAUGGAUGAUUUUAAUAGGUUUUGGCUCUGUUUUUUACUUUUGUUAUGAUGCUAUCCAGCUCUGAAAUAUUUAAGCCAGUUACUUGUAGGUGUCAUUCUCAUUGUACCUCAAAGGUCAGUUAAUUUUUGUUCCUGGAAGCAUUAGGAAUUCAAGGAGAGUGAUCAGAAAGCUGAAGGAGUAGAUUGUUGAGAAUUACAUGCCAGAAUACAGUUAUCUAGCCAAGAAUAAAGUGCUUUGGGGUGAUAAUUGAUUGAGGUGCAGGAUCCAGACCCUAGUUUUGAGGAAUACUGUGAUGGAUUUUUUUUCAGAGCAAAUAUUUCAUGUCAGCAGCUGAUAAAUACUGUUUGUAGUGCUUGCAUUAAGUUUUGUGUUGAGCUUCUUCCAAACAUAUUUUUCCUUUCUUUUAAUGUCCUUAUUCACAAAUUAAUGCUUUUGAAGAAAGCAGACACUUUUCUUGUACGUUAUGACAUGGCAUUAAAUGUCCCUAAUCUGUAAGGUGACACUGCCUUCAUGUUCGUUCAUACUGCUAAGCAUUUGCAAGUCUUGGCAGCGUGUAACUAUUGUAAAGGUCCAUACUGUAGCUUUUUCCAGUUAAUCGAGGAACUCUUGAGAAGCUGCUGGAACUCUGAGAAAUGUCUCAGAAGUGAGAAACUGCUGAGGAAGUACUUUGAAUGAUCUGAUUAGCUGUAUUCAAGGCAAAGCAGAUCACAGGGUUAAAGAAGACUAAAGAAGUUGUAAGUAACAGGGUUGUGAAUCCUUUUGUUUUCCUCCUGCAACAAUGGUAAGGAGUCUUCUAAUUGUACACAAGAAAAAUGGACUCACUCUUGGCUGUACCAUAGGCUCCCAGUUGCUGUAUAUGGGUAUGUUACUUGCACUGAAAGAUGUCUGCAAAUAAAAAGCUUCAAAACUAUCUGUAAAAUAUAUUUUAUGUGGACAUUAUUUCAGGUGCAGUGUCAUACCUCUUUGUUCCUGAAAAAUGAGUGUAGAAUUGUAAGCUUUAGGAAGGUGAGAAGUGCUAAAUUGCUUCUGAGUUUCAUUGCUGUGAGAGGUGUAGCAGUGAAGUAAGGUAGCUGCCAGCUCUAGCACAUGCAGAAGAGUCUUUAUCGAACUUUAUCGAACAACAGGUGUCAUCAAACACGCUCGCCAGGUGGAACCCGACUAUACCACUUGAUCUGUAUGUGCAUUUCACGGAAGGGGGGGGAGUAGGAGCGCUGGCCCAAGGCCUUCCUGAAAAAGCUCAGCCAAUACAAUGGAUAGUCCUGGGGAAAACGUCACGUGCUUUCUCUCCAGGAGUCGAGUGCCUCGGUAACCUCAUCAUGAAAGGCAGAAAACUCGCCCUAAGACAUCUGGGCAUUGAACCAGCCAGAAUAUACCUGCCCUUUCGCAAACAGCUCCCAACACAAUCAGUGGCAAUGUCAGAAUAUCUAGCUAUAGCCCUCGUUGGAUUUGGGGGAGAAGUCCGGUAUGCCACAAAGCCCCCCUGGACUCAAAUGCUAGCUAUUGUCGACAUCAACCUCCCACGGAAAAUCAUGGACCGGUCCCAACAGGGACCAACGGUCUUCACAGACGCAUCCUCAGCGACCUCAACCGCGGCAGCAGUAUGGCAAUCGGGAGGAGAAUGGCACUGUGUCAAAAUGACCAAUCGUGCAGUCUCCGUCCAACAGCUGGAAGCAACAGCUGUAGUGCUGGCGUGCGGACUGUUCCCGACAGAACAUCUCAACAUAGUAACUGAUUCAAUGUUUGUGGCCAAGCUUUGCUUAGCCAUGUCAGGGCCCGGCGUGUCAACAUCCACAAUAGCUCUGAUGCUGGAAGAAGCACUUUUUUCCCGAAAGGGCGCUAUAUCGGUUAUCCAUGUCAACAGCCAUAACCCAAUCAAAGGGUUCUUCCAAAUCGGCAACGACAAAGCAGACGCGGCUGCAAAAGGGUUGUGGACACUGAAAGAUGCCCGCCAAUUACAUGAGUCCCUCCACAUUGGAGCUAAAGCGUUAGCAAAGAGAUGUGGGAUCUCGGCCACUGACGCAAAACAUAUAGUAGCUACAUGUCCUCACUGUCAAAAAGCACCAUUGUGGUCUAGUGGAGUCAACCCCAGAGGUCUUAAAGCCUCUGAGGUGUGGCAGACAGAUUUUACGCUCUGCCAAUUGUUAAAACCUCGAGCACAGCUAGCAGUAACUGUAGACACAUAUAGCGGGGUGAUCGUAGCGACACAACACCUUAAGACUGACGCUAAAGCAACCAUCCAACAUUGGCUAACAGCCAUGGCGUGGCUUGGCAUCCCUAAUCAGAUCAAAACGGACAAUGGUCCAAAUUUUGUGUCUAAAUCAGUCCAGGCAUUCACUCUGAAGUAGGGUAUUACUCUAAUACACGGCAUCCCAUAUAAUAGUACAGGACAAGCCAUAGUCGAACGGGCAAAUCAAACUCUGAAAUCUAAAUUAGAGGUAUUAGCAAAAACAGAAGGUUUUACCAACGUCAUUCCCUCAGGGGACCAGGCACGCUUAUUAGUGGCAGCCCUAUUAGCUUUAAACCAGUUCCCCAGGGGAGAUGAGGUGAAUAGCCCUGCCCAGAAGCACUGGGCCACUUGAGCGCUAGAAGAAGGCCCAUCGGUCAUGAUCAGAAAUGAGCUAGGAGAAUGGGAACAAGGGUGGAAAUUAGUUCUGACGGGGCGAGGGUAUGCUGCGGUCAGAAAAGAUAACAGAAUCAAAUGGUGUCCACUUAAGUCUAUCAAGCCAGACCUUCAGAAUAAAACUAAUGAAAACUGUGAGGUUUUGUCUGCAGGACCGGAUCAUCGGACACCCCCGUAACCCAUAUACCCUGGUGACAAGAGAAGACAACGAGUCGGCAAGCGGCCUGUCCGCAUCUGAGAGCUCUGCACCGGCGGAGUCCAGACAACGGCGAAACAGCCCCCCGCAGGGCGGGGCUGCGAUGUUUUUGUGUGAUUUCAAUUUUGGGGUUCAUAACGCCGUCUAGGGGCUUGUAUGAACAUCAGCUGUGGGAAUGGGUACUGGCGAGAUGGGAGGACCAGAAGAUACUAUGAAAGAUUGUUACCCCGGGACCCCCUAGUUUCCAAGUAUAUCUCUGUGACCUAAUCCUCUCAACCCCCUGUUUGAACACUAUAAUGUAUUAUAUGUGUCCCAGCUCUAACCCUGGCAGAUCUUACUGUAACGUCCCUUAUCAGUAUUACUGUUCUCGCUGGGGCUGUGAAACCAUCGCAUCUGGCUGGAAGGUGGCGAAACCAGACCCGUUUCUUAAGACCAGUUGGGGGCCAACAGGCUGCACCCCUAGGAGACCAAACGCGUUGGGAGGGACAGUAUGCGGCGGGAAGUGUGACUGCCAAUAUAUUUUCUUAAACGUAACCAAUGAAAACGACCUGGGAUGGACCAUUGGCAAAACUUGGGGCAUUAGAUACUGGCAACCUGGCACAGAUAAGGGGGGACUGUUUUUUAUUAAAAAACAGGAAGUAAAAAGUGGAACAGCAAUUGGCGCCCAACGUGGCGCUCAAAGAAAAAGAGACAGGGAAGCGCAAUAAGGGUGGUUUGAAUCAUGGUUUAACCAAUCACUGUGGCUAGCCACCCUGAUAUCCACCUUGGUAGGGCCGAUUGCAGUAAUCCUGCUGACACUGAUCUUCGGACCCUGUAUAUUAAACAGGCUCAUGUCCUUUGUCAAGAGCCGGCUAGAAAAGGUCAACAUCAUGUUUGUAGAACACCAACAACUGCUUUAAAAAUGUACUUGAUCAGUAUUUCCCCCGAUUCUCCCUGGCUCUCCCCAGGUAUCCCAAGCUACACUCCAUUACCCCCAGUCGCUUCCCAAGUGCCAAUUGCUCAGUGUGCAAUUGUACUCUUUUUUUUUGAGAAAUAUUUUUACUAUUUUAGCCUGUUUAGUUAAGCAUAGGGAGAGGGGAAAUGUUGCUAGGUAGGGCCUGGCGGCCGGAAGAUGUUGUGCUGUACGGAAACAUAGGGCCCCCCUCCAGGUAGCCAACAGCUUUUAGCUUAUGAUAUAAGCAGACGGAAGUGACACUGUAAACCUAGGCUAUAUAGUGUCGCGCCGCUCAGCAAUAAACGCCAUUUGCCAUCCACCACAUUGUUGUCUGUGAGCUGAUGGACCGCGCGGCCAGGGGUUGGCCGCUGUGCCGUUCCUGAACCAGGUCACCGUGCGCCUGUGAAGGCAACAGGAAGGACAGCAGUUAAUGCUGUUUCCCAUAAGAGCUGGUGUGUUGUAACAGUCAAUAGAUUGCUCAGAAAACCUGUUAAAAUAGCAUUUGGCUUAAAGCUGUACUAGAAAUGUGGACAUUCUGUUCUGCCGAACAGGUUGAAGGUUUCUCUUCAUCCCUGCUCCCCAGUGACACCACCUUGGAGACUGCUAAGGGCAAGGCUGAAUGACUGUGUCCUAUUCAUAGUAAGGAUGAGGGGCUGCAGAAGGCUUUUGCCUGGAGCAAGGUGUCAGCUGUGAUGCAUGUUUAAAAGGAAAUUUUCGAGGUCGCAGAUACAAGUGUUUAAUUUGCUACGAUUACGAUCUCUGUGCAACUUGUUAUGAAAGUGGUGCAACAACGACAAGGCAUACAACUGACCAUCCAA